RNAcentral lists this ribosomal RNA (1501 nucleotides) under Lactiplantibacillus plantarum. RNAcentral's name for it is "Lactobacillus plantarum 16S ribosomal RNA". It matches the Rfam family "Bacterial small subunit ribosomal RNA". Lineage: Bacteria; Bacillati; Bacillota; Bacilli; Lactobacillales; Lactobacillaceae. The record is from RNAcentral.
UGCCUAAUACAUGCAAGUCGAACGAACUCUGGUAUUGAUUGGUGCUUGCAUCAUGAUUUACAUUUGAGUGAGUGGCGAACUGGUGAGUAACACGUGGGAAACCUGCCCAGAAGCGGGGGAUAACACCUGGAAACAGAUGCUAAUACCGCAUAACAACUUGGACCGCAUGGUCCGAGUUUGAAAGAUGGCUUCGGCUAUCACUUUUGGAUGGUCCCGCGGCGUAUUAGCUAGAUGGUGGGGUAACGGCUCACCAUGGCAAUGAUACGUAGCCGACCUGAGAGGGUAAUCGGCCACAUUGGGACUGAGACACGGCCCAAACUCCUACGGGAGGCAGCAGUAGGGAAUCUUCCACAAUGGACGAAAGUCUGAUGGAGCAACGCCGCGUGAGUGAAGAAGGGUUUCGGCUCGUAAAACUCUGUUGUUAAAGAAGAACAUAUCUGAGAGUAACUGUUCAGGUAUUGACGGUAUUUAACCAGAAAGCCACGGCUAACUACGUGCCAGCAGCCGCGGUAAUACGUAGGUGGCAAGCGUUGUCCGGAUUUAUUGGGCGUAAAGCGAGCGCAGGCGGUUUUUUAAGUCUGAUGUGAAAGCCUUCGGCUCAACCGAAGAAGUGCAUCGGAAACUGGGAAACUUGAGUGCAGAAGAGGACAGUGGAACUCCAUGUGUAGCGGUGAAAUGCGUAGAUAUAUGGAAGAACACCAGUGGCGAAGGCGGCUGUCUGGUCUGUAACUGACGCUGAGGCUCGAAAGUAUGGGUAGCAAACAGGAUUAGAUACCCUGGUAGUCCAUACCGUAAACGAUGAAUGCUAAGUGUUGGAGGGUUUCCGCCCUUCAGUGCUGCAGCUAACGCAUUAAGCAUUCCGCCUGGGGAGUACGGCCGCAAGGCUGAAACUCAAAGGAAUUGACGGGGGCCCGCACAAGCGGUGGAGCAUGUGGUUUAAUUCGAAGCUACGCGAAGAACCUUACCAGGUCUUGACAUACUAUGCAAAUCUAAGAGAUUAGACGUUCCCUUCGGGGACAUGGAUACAGGUGGUGCAUGGUUGUCGUCAGCUCGUGUCGUGAGAUGUUGGGUUAAGUCCCGCAACGAGCGCAACCCUUAUUAUCAGUUGCCAGCAUUAAGUUGGGCACUCUGGUGAGACUGCCGGUGACAAACCGGAGGAAGGUGGGGAUGACGUCAAAUCAUCAUGCCCCUUAUGACCUGGGCUACACACGUGCUACAAUGGAUGGUACAACGAGUUGCGAACUCGCGAGAGUAAGCUAAUCUCUUAAAGCCAUUCUCAGUUCGGAUUGUAGGCUGCAACUCGCCUACAUGAAGUCGGAAUCGCUAGUAAUCGCGGAUCAGCAUGCCGCGGUGAAUACGUUCCCGGGCCUUGUACACACCGCCCGUCACACCAUGAGAGUUUGUAACACCCAAAGUCGGUGGGGUAACCUUUUAGGAACCAGCCGCCUAAGGUGGGACAGAUGAUUAGGGUGAAGUCGUAACAAGGUAGCCGUAGGAGAAC